AGAUCGAACAAUCAGACCAGUGCGGAAGAGAGGUUGACAGUGGCGUUGUAUAGGCUGCCCAGUAAAUGGGAGGGUUAUAUCAGUGGUCAGAGGUCGAAGGUGAUGACCUUAACCCUACAGACCAGUCCCAAGAUCUUGAUGAGCAUGUCGAACAGCAAGUCAGCUCUGUAAAAGGUCAUGGUGAGACUAAUAGACUGGAAGAGGCUGCCCCAGAAUCAGCUGGGCCAUCAUAUUCACAGCAGGCUGAUCAGAACUUAGCCAGCCUAUCUAGUGCCCAGAACACACCGCAGACCUCUACGCACAACCUGUCCUUGUUGGCCCAAAGAAGGCCCUCUUGCUUAGGCACGACGAGCACUAACACGCAGUGGAGCUUUCUGACUGAGAGUGUGCGUGGCAUGUUGUCAGCAGCGGUGGUCAAUGCCCCUGACCACAGCACGGGAGGGGAUUUGCCCAGGACACCAUCACUAUCCAGUUCCUCCUCCUGGUUUUCCAUCGGUAGCGAUGUAAUGGAACCAGCAUCCACCAGCAGCAGUGGCUCAUUCGUCUUUGAGAAUGAUCAUGUACCCGAUGGUGACUACAGAUGGACCCCAACACCCUCCCCCUCCCUCUCAUCGGAGGAGGAAGAUGAUGACAACCCAAGAGGACAUCCCAUCGUCCCUGAGAAUGGGGAUGGAGUCGAUUGGAAUAGACCCCUAUUAGAUCGCUGGCUGUCUGUAUUCGGACUUUCUCAGAUCUACAUCUUCAGUCAGGUACACAGAGAUGCCCGCAGGUGUCUGAGUGAACUCAUCAUACCCUCCUUCCAGAGAAAGAACAAUGAGAUGAGGACAAAUUCUCUGUCUGCGGACACCAGGCUGAUCAUGGCCAUUGUGGAGGUCAUCGUCCAGCAGAUAGAAUGCAGACUAACUCAGCUCGCGCUAAACGGAGAUGCUAGUUGGGGGCCUGAGGCUCUUUUAAUAACCAGCAGGCAGUUUGCUGAACAGCUGCUGGGAAGUGUAACAGCCACAUUGAAUGGUCACUGUCAAAGAUAUAUGGCGAUUAAUCGGUUGUCUGGAAAGACUGUUAUAAAUGUCAAGAGCAGUCUUGACCCAGCGCUUGGACCACUUGCAUGUCUGGUAAUCCUCGAAACCAUCACCAGCAUCCAGUGGGUUCUUAACGAGUAUCAGGCUAAUUAUGAGGCAGCAUCGAAUUCCAAUUAUAUGUACUUUUUGGCAGCAGUAGUGGCCGAAGUGGAGAGUAUGUUGUUCCAGAGACCAGGGCCGCAUACGUCACCCAGACAGUCAAACAGCGACCUGCUUGACCAGGCCCGGGCGAAUAUCACCAGGAAUGUCAAGAUGAAAUUAGCAGAGAUGACCCAGCUACGAUCCCAACAAAACACAUCAAUGUCUAGUGACUUGGUAGAUUUGCUGAACAACGACACCCAGGACAAGCAUGAAUAUCUAGACUACCAGAGCCCGAGCUGCAGUACUGGGAUUGAAGACCUAGACAUUGAUGUCAUGGCCAGGGAGAUGGUCCAGAAAGCUACAAACAAACUUAAGGAAUCCAUGUCAGAAUUUGACCUGGAGGGGGAAUCCACUACCAGUCAGGUCAGCAGUGGAACUUUUAAUUAUUCAAAUCUGUCUCACUCCAACUCUGACCUGGGGAUACUGUGUGUUCAGUCGACAGAGGCUGUCAGAACCGUACAGCAGAUUGCUAAGACAGAGCUUGAUAGUCACUCGGAUGAGUCCUUCGAUGCAAGCCAGACAACUAUGAACCAUCUCGCAUGUCUAGCAGCAGGAGUUGAGAGCACUGAUAAUCUGGAAAUUGGUGAGUUGCUCCAUGUCACUCCAAGGAACAUUGCCGAAGAGUCAACACAUAUUCUCAAAUCCCUUUUACUGGACUUGAACAAAGCAGUUGAGGAAAACAGGACUGAGGGGAACCGGUUCUUGGAGCAGGCUAAGUCAUCCUUGCAAACAUUGUACAGAACAGCUGUGGACCAGCUGAGCAAAAUAUUCACAGGGGGAAACCACACCGACGAACAAGACCAGCAGGAAGUGCCUACCAACAAUGACCCAACACUGGCAGUCAGCCAGGAGUCAGUCAGAUGCAAAGCCAAGCAGAUUCUCAGCAAUGUUCUGAAUGUGAUCGAGGCCGGUGUGACUGUCUCCGAACACUCAUCUGUGGAUGAGCAGCUGAUCAAUGAGUGCCAGGUUGCCACUGAGAUUUUGGACUCCAUACUGAACAAACUAAGAGAUGAUGAGUUUAACAAAGAGGACCGUGUUCAUGAGUUGUCAGUCAGUGAUACAUGCCAGGAUGUCUCACCUAAAACCACUCAGGUUUACAUGGUGGUGAGUUCCCAGGAUAUGUUAAAGGAUGAUGUCUCUACCGUGACCUCUGUGGAUGAUACUGUGCCCAGGCCAGAGAGUCUCUUGCAGGGCAUGGGUACCCACAGGUCAUACACCAGUCAGGGCUCCCGUGACCUUGACAAAGAGCUAAUGUCUAAGCUCCGUGUCAACCGCCCUGACACCACAUUGCCCAUAAGGUGCAGUCUGACAGCUAGUGCCGACGAUGAGACCUGCCAUAUCUCUUCCAGAAGGAAGAAAAAGAGCCAAGGCUGGAGUUUUGGCUGCUGCCUGAGGCUUCCAACAGUCAGGACCAAGGUGUUCAAGAAUAGAGUGGAACCAGAGGUCCUACCCGUUCUGAAUGAGCUGCCUUCGCAGCCUUUCGGCUUAGCUCAAGUUGCGCUUGAUCAUGACCACGGCAUCCCAUUCUGUCCCAAACCUGAGGAAGACCUGCCAACAGAACCUGCACAGAAGUCCCAGAAACGUCCCCUGUUGGUCAGGGCAUUCCGGGCCAUCUGCAAAGCCAUGUCCAAACCAUUCAGGGGCUGUGCUUUUAGGAAGAACUAUUAGAAAGUGUUUGCCGUCUACAUCUAAUAAGCAUUUUCACUCUCACAUUGUCUAUUCUGCAUUACCAUGCAGAGAUCUUUUGAACAUGAUUGAUUAGCUACAUUUUUAUACUUUCCACACCUUUGAUGGUUUGGUUAUAAUCAUUCAUGUAAAGUUCUAGUAUUAAUUACAUAAUUUCAACAUUUGCCAAAAUGGAGGGGACCAUGGCAAUUCAUCAUAAGCAGAAUAAUGUAAAAAUACAGGAAUGUUCCCAUUCCUAAUUAGGUUAAAAUAUUUCAGUAUCCAUAAUUCCAUAAUAUUUUGUAUUUUUUACAUUUUUUUUAUAUUUUGUAUAAUUUAUAUCGGUCUUGUCUGUCAUGUCUUGUCAUUCAUGUCAUACUCUAAACAUGUACACAAUGAUGCAAUCUUGAUAAAAACAGAAAUAAAUAAAGAUUGAUCAUAUUAGAGUGUAACACAUUCCAUCAAUGACAACAACAAAAAAAUGCAUCUGGACAUAGUGUUACAAUCUUUUGCACUAGAGGGUGGCCGUGUCUAUCUAUGCCAUACAGUUUCUAAAGUGGAGUUCCAGCAAAAUGGCGGCCUAGGCCCACAAGUUCACAGGCUAGUUAACAG
Molecule: long non-coding RNA, 3497 nt
Organism: Esox lucius (northern pike)
Lineage: Eukaryota; Metazoa; Chordata; Actinopteri; Esociformes; Esocidae
Source: Ensembl